GUGAAUCAUCGAAUCUUUGAACGCAAAUUGCACUUUCUGGUAUUCCGGAAAGUAUGCCUGUUUGAGGGUCAUUUUAAGUUUAAUCGUGGUUGUGGCGUGUUUUGGUGGUGACGCGUCUGAGUGGGGUGUGGUUACCUUUGGGUAAGUGACUUAAAAUUUUGUGUGAUUGUUUGAGGUAUGUAAAUU
RNAcentral lists this unclassified non-coding RNA (186 nucleotides) under Glomus sp. Its description in RNAcentral is "partial contains 5.8S ribosomal RNA and internal transcribed spacer 2". The stretch from base 1 to 71 matches the Rfam family "5.8S ribosomal RNA", at positions 84 to 154 of the family's 154-position model. Lineage: Eukaryota; Fungi; Glomeromycota; Glomeromycetes; Glomerales; Glomeraceae. The record is from RNAcentral.